Molecule: ribosomal RNA, 425 nt
Filed under: uncultured prokaryote
Description: bacterial SSU rRNA
Rfam family: Bacterial small subunit ribosomal RNA
Source: RNAcentral
UAACGAAUCUUCCGCAAUGCGCGAAAGCGUGACGGAGCAAUGCCGCGUGCAGGAUGAAGCCUCUCGGGGUGUAAACUGCUGUCAGGGUUUAGCAACACAAUGAGCAGACCCAAAGGAAGGGCCGGCUAACUUCGUGCCAGCAGCCGCGGUAAUACGAAGGGCCCGAGCGUUGCGCGGACUCAUUGGGCUUAAAGCGUACGUAGGCGGGUUGACAGGCGUCUUGUGAAAUCCCUCGGCUCAACCGAGGAACUGCUUGACGAACCGUCAGCCUUGAGGCAGGUAGGGGCGGUCGGAACGAUAGGUGGAGUGGUGAAAUGCGUUGAUAUCUAUCGGAACGCCGAAGGAGAAAUCAGGCCGCUGGGCCUGUCCUGACGCUGAGGUACGAAAGCGUGGGUAGCGAACGGGAUUAGAUACCCCCGUAGUCC